CGCCUUGCCACGCCCGCUCAAGAACUACAAAGGAAUUGACGGGGGCCCCGCACAAGCGGUGGAGCAUGUGGUUUAAUUCGACGCUACGCGAAGAACCUUACCUGGGCUCGAACGACUGGUAGUAGUCCGAUUGAAAGAUUGGGCGACCCGCAAGGGAGCCAGCCGAGGUGCUGCAUGGCUGUCGUCAGCUCGUGUCGUGAGAUGUUGGGUUAAGUCCCGCAACGAGCGCAACCCCUAUCCUGUGUUGCUACCCGCAAGGGAGGACUCUCAGGAGACUGCCGCGGAUAACGUGGAGGAAGGUGGGGAUGACGUCAAGUCCUCAUGGCCUUUAUGUCCAGGGCUACACACGUGCUACAAUGGCGUACCCAGUGGGAAGCGAAACCGCAAGGUGGAGCAAAUCCUCAAAGUACGCCUCAGUUCGGAUCGGGGGCUGCAACUCGCCCCCGUGAAGGUGGAAUCGCUAGUAAUCGCUGAUCAGCAGGCAGCGGUGAAUACGUUCCCGGGCCUU
This 508-nucleotide ribosomal RNA is filed under the name uncultured Sinobacteraceae bacterium. RNAcentral's name for it is "bacterial SSU rRNA". It matches the Rfam family "Bacterial small subunit ribosomal RNA", at positions 903 to 1382 of the family's 1533-position model. Lineage: Bacteria; Pseudomonadati; Pseudomonadota; Gammaproteobacteria; Nevskiales; Nevskiaceae. The record is from RNAcentral.